This 265-nucleotide ribosomal RNA is filed under the name uncultured archaeon. Its description in RNAcentral is "partial 16S ribosomal RNA". It matches the Rfam family "Archaeal small subunit ribosomal RNA", at positions 719 to 982 of the family's 1478-position model. The record is from RNAcentral.
AGUCACUGACAUUAGAUACCCGGGUAGUCCUAGCCGUAAACGAUACUCGCUAGGUGUCGGCCACGGUGCGACCGUUGUCGGUGCCGUAGGGAAGCCGUGAAGCGAGCCACCUGGGAAGUACGGCCGCAAGGCUGAAACUUAAAGGAAUUGGCGGGGGAGCACAACAACGGGUGGAGCUUGCGGUUUAAUUGGAUUCAACGCCGGAAAUCUUACCGGGACCGACAGCAACAUGAAGGCCAAGCCGAAGACUUUGCCGGAUUAGCUG